Molecule: ribosomal RNA, 524 nt
Filed under: Salmonella enterica subsp. enterica serovar Rubislaw
Lineage: Bacteria; Pseudomonadati; Pseudomonadota; Gammaproteobacteria; Enterobacterales; Enterobacteriaceae
Also listed under: 5 other names
Description: partial 23S ribosomal RNA
Rfam family: Bacterial large subunit ribosomal RNA
Source: RNAcentral
GAGGGAAACCGAGUCUUAAUUGGGCGUUAAGUUGCAGGGUAUAGACCCGAAACCCGGUGAUCUAGCCAUGGGCAGGUUGAAGGUUGGGUAACACUAACUGGAGGACCGAACCGACUAAUGUUGAAAAAUUAGCGGAUGACCUGUGGCUGGGGGUGAAAGGCCAAUCAAACCGGGAGAUAGCUGGUUCUCCCCGAAAGCUAUUUAGGUAGCGCCUCGUGAAUUCAUCUCCGGGGGUAGAGCACUGUUUCGGCUAGGGGGCCAUCCCGGCUUACCAACCCGAUGCAAACUGCGAAUACCGGAGAAUGUUAUCACGGGAGACACACGGCGGGUGCUAACGUCCGUCGUGAAGAGGGAAACAACCCAGACCGCCAGCUAAGGUCCCAAAGUCAUGGUUAAGUGGGAAACGAUGUGGGAAGGCCCAGACAGCCAGGAUGUUGGCUUAGAAGCAGCCAUCAUUUAAAGAAAGCGUAAUAGCUCACUGGUCGAGUCGGCCUGCGCGGAAGAUGUAACGGGGCUAAACCAUG